This 118-nucleotide ribosomal RNA is filed under the name Castor canadensis (American beaver). The record is from RNAcentral. Lineage: Eukaryota; Metazoa; Chordata; Mammalia; Rodentia; Castoridae.
GUCUAUGGCUGUACCACCUUGAACACGCCCGAUCUCGUCUGCUCUCAGACGAUAAGCAGGGUCAGUCCAGGUUAGUCUUGGAUGGGAGACUGUCUGGGAAUACCAAGUGCUGUAGGCU